GAAAGAAGCUUUGUAUGGCUUGACAGAACUUUUGAGAGAGGAAGUCAAAAGUGCUCGUCUAGUUGUUAUCCAACAUCCAUUCAGCUUCCUCUUGUUCCCUUGAUUAAGGACAUCAUUGUGGCCAAGGAUUAUUUGAAGCAAAGAGGAGUUGACAGAAAAUCAAGAGGAUUAGUACCUUGUAUUCAUAUGCCAAUGUAUCAACCAAAAAGCCAUUUCCCAGGAUUUGAAAUUCCAAAACACACAAAAAAUCACAGUGAAUUCAAUUCUAGAGAGAGAGAGAGAGAGAGAGAGAGAUGGAGGCAAAAAAGAGGGGUCGUCGCUGGACGAUCUGAUGUCAUCGUUCAACACUCGCAUUGCAGAGCUUCAAGAGCUCGUCGUUGCACGAAACAUGUACCCGGCCACAAGUAUCACUGAUUUGUCGGCGGUGGACAUCGCAUUGAAGGCCAUGGAGCUUCAGCUUCAGGCUAUCAAGGAGCGGUUGCUCGAAGAAACGCUAGCUAUUCCCAAAGCCAAAGAGAAAAAGGGCCGUGGCUCUCCACCAUUGUGGUAUAUAACUGCCAAUGAGCUGGAUUCUCUGUCAUCAUACAUGAGAGGACGGCUGACAUGAGAGGACUGCAGAUCCAUAAAAUUUCUAGCUCUAUGUUCAAAGCUUAAAGAAUUGCCUAGAGACAUGAAAGAAUUAGUCAAUCUCAGGCAUCUUGAGAUAGAUGGAUGUGAACGGUUGACUUAUAUGCCACGUGGAUUGGGGCUACUCACUAAUCUCCAGACGUUAUCAAACUUUGUGGUCCACAAGGAUUCUCUCUCUCAGCAUAGCAGUGGGUUAAAAGAACUAGAGGGACUAAAUAACCUGAGAGGAUACUUAAGUAUUGAAAAUCUGAGACAUGGAAAAGAUGGUGUGGCAGAAUGUAAGGAAGCAAAUUUGAAAGAGAAACAACAUCUUUAUGGUUUGUUUUUAUUGUGGAGUAUUGAAAGAGGUGUCAAUGCUUCAGGCGUUAAUGUUGAUGAUGAGACGUUAUUGGAAGUCCUCCAACCGCAUCCACAUCUAAAAGUGCUUGGGUUAUCAAACAAUUGGGGUUCAAGGCUUCCAAGUUGGCUUUUGUCACUCACAAAUCUUGUUACAUUUCAAUUAUAUAGGUGUACGAAAUGCCAAUCCCUACCACCAUUGAGUCAACUGCCUUCUCUCAAAGAUCUUGAGCUUUACACAAUGAAUGCUAUGGAGUACAUAUCAGACAGUGGUGACAGCAAUGAGUUCUCUUCUUUUUUCCCAUCUCUCAAGAGAAUCGAACUCUCUUUUUGCCAUAAUCUCAAGGGGUGGAGGAGGAGGAGGGAUUCUUCUGUGCAGGUCAAUAGUGAUAGUCAUAAUUCCAUUGAAAAUACAGAGCAUCCUUUACUCCCUUCCUUUCCUUGUCUCUCAGAAUUACAAAUCAUGUGUUGCCCUAUGUUGACUUCCAUGCCAACGUUUCCACAUCUUGAAGAGUUGAGCCUAGAUGGUACUAGCUUGAAGCCCCUGCAACAGACAAUGAUGAUGAAUAUGGGAGCACCGUAAAGCCCAACGUCAACUGUUGAGGAUGAGAUGCAAUGGCAAGGUCUUAAGGGCCUCCUCUCUUUGAAUUUUUCACUUGUUCCAAAAUUGGUCUCUCCCGUUGGGCCUUCAACAUGGGACCACAAUACAAAAGCUCGAUUUCAGAUUGUGAAAACUUGACGGCUAUACCAGAGUGGAUUCGCAACUGCACAUCACUUCAAGUGCUUAAAAUUGAUGGAUGCUCCAGUUUGACAUCACUGCCCGAAGGAAUGCAUAGCCUAACGUCUUUGCAAGGCUGGAAAUUAAAAACUGUCCCAUCUUAUUGCAAAGAUGCGAGAGAGAAGCGGGUGAGGAUUUGAAUUUAGGUACAGAAGAAACAGAGGAUUUGGAUUCAGGUACAGAAGUAGCAGACCCAGCUAAAGAAAAGAAGAAACAGAGAAUUUGGAGCAUAUUAAAAAAAAUCUAGGGCGCUCAAUUCCUGAUUCUUCACAUAUCAGGAGAAACAAUUAGCCUCUAUUCUUGCUCUUCCCACCACUUCUCUGCUGUCAUCUCAAACAGAAGACAGUCAACGAUGGCUUUUCUGUUAUGAAAAAUUUAUCACCCUGUAAACGAUUAGCUGGUGGCUCCAAAAGAGUUCAGGUUCCUCAUUUUCUCAGUGCACAGAUAAAGCUGAAAAAACAUGUUUUACUGCAACCAGUGUUUAGAAAUUGGCAGGGUCAGUGUAAUGUUCCUGUGAGUUGAUCACACAUGUUCUUUGGACUUCUGUACAUGGUUCAAUUUCGUGUGUUAAUGUUAUGUUAG
This is a long non-coding RNA of Alnus glutinosa, 2323 nucleotides long. RefSeq lists it as uncharacterized. NCBI's taxonomy places the organism in Eukaryota, Viridiplantae, Streptophyta, Magnoliopsida, Fagales, Betulaceae. The record is from RefSeq and is a predicted model, not a curated record. The transcript has 9 exons.